This 698-nucleotide ribosomal RNA is filed under the name uncultured Methanosarcinaceae archaeon. RNAcentral's name for it is "SSU rRNA". It matches the Rfam family "Archaeal small subunit ribosomal RNA", at positions 133 to 830 of the family's 1478-position model. Lineage: Archaea; Methanobacteriati; Methanobacteriota; Methanomicrobia; Methanosarcinales; Methanosarcinaceae. The record is from RNAcentral.
CGGGAUACUGGGGAUAAUUCCGGAUAACGCACAUAUGCUGGAAUGCUUUAUGCGUAAAAUGGAUUCGUCUGCCCAAGGAUGGGUCUGCGGCCUAUCAGGUAGUAGUGGGUGUAAUGUACCUACUACCUACAACGGGUACGGGUUGUGAGAUCAAGAGCCCGGAGAUGGAUUCUGAGACAUGAAUCCAGGCCCUACGGGGCGCAGCAGGCGCGAAAACUUUACAAUGCGGGAAACCGUGAUAAGGGGACACCGAGUGCCAGCAUCAUAUGCUGGCUGUCCAGGUGUGUAAAAUACACCUGUUAGCAAGGGCCGGGCAAGACCGGUGCCAGCCGCCGCGGUAACACCGGCGGCCCGAGUGGUGAUCGUGAUUAUUGGGUCUAAAGGGUCCGUAGCCGGUUUGGUCAGUCCUCCGGGAAAUCUGACGGCUCAACCGUUAGGCUUUCGGGGGAUACUGCCAGGCUUGGAACCGGGAGAGGUAAGAGGUACUACAGGGGUAGGAGUGAAAUCUUGUAAUCCCUGUGGGACCACCUGUGGCGAAGGCGUCUUACCAGAACGGGUUCGACGGUGAGGGACGAAAGCUGGGGGCACGAACCGGAUUAGAUACCCGGGUAGUCCCAGCCGUAAACGAUGCUCGCUAGGUGUCAGGCAUGGCGCGACCGUGUCUGGUGCCGCAGGGAAGCCGUGAAGCGAGCCACCUG